GACGAACGCUGGCGGCGUGCCUAAUACAUGCAAGUAGAACGCUGAAGCGAGGAGCUUCCUCUUCUUGGAUGAGUUGCGAACGGGUGAGUAACGCGUAGGUAACCUGCCUUGUAGCGGGGGAUAACUAUUGGAAACGAUAGCUAAUACCGCAUAACAAUGGGUGACACAUGUCAUUUAUUUGAAAGGGGCAAUUGCUCCACUACAAGAUGGACCUGCGUUGUAUUAGCUAGUAGGUGAGGUAAUGGCUCACCUAGGCGACGAUACAUAGCCGACCUGAGAGGGUGAUCGGCCAAACUGGGACUGAGACACGGCCCAAACUCCUACGGGAGGCAGCAGUAGGGAAUCUUCGGCAAUGGGGGCAAGUCUGACCGAGCAACGCCGCGUGAGUGAAGAAGGUUGUCGGAUCGUAAAGCUCUGUUGUAAGUCAAGAACGGGUGUGAGAGUGGAAAGUUCACACUGUGACGGUAGCUAACCAGAAAGGGACGGCUAACUACGUG
This 497-nucleotide ribosomal RNA is filed under the name uncultured bacterium. RNAcentral's name for it is "partial 16S ribosomal RNA". It matches the Rfam family "Bacterial small subunit ribosomal RNA", at positions 28 to 507 of the family's 1533-position model. The record is from RNAcentral.